This 226-nucleotide unclassified non-coding RNA is filed under the name uncultured fungus. RNAcentral describes it as "sequence contains ITS1, 5.8S rRNA gene". The stretch from base 178 to 226 matches the Rfam family "5.8S ribosomal RNA", at positions 1 to 49 of the family's 154-position model. Lineage: Eukaryota; Fungi. The record is from RNAcentral.
UUUCCGUAGGUGAACCUGCGGAGGGAUCAUUACUUAGUGAGGGCUUUGGUCCGACCUCCAACCCUUUGUUAACCAAACUUGUUGCUUCGGGGGCGACCCUGCCGCUUCGGCGGUGCGGCGCCCCCGGAGGCCAUUAAACACUGCAUCAUUGCGUCGGAGUUAAAGUAAAUUAAACAAAACUUUCAACAACGGAUCUCUUGGUUCUGGCAUCGAUGAAGAACGCAGC